CUUUCCCCUAACAACUAUUAAGUAGGUUUUCUAUUAUUCCCAUUAUGCAGAUGAGGAAAUCAAAGCUACUUAGCAGAAAAGCAAACUUAAUUUCUGGUCUGCUAAACCCCUAAAGCCUACGUUAAUUAUGCAUGGUCAGGGGCGCCUGGGUGGCUCAGUGGGUUAAGCCGCUGCCUUCGGCUCAGGUC
Long non-coding RNA from Lutra lutra (Eurasian river otter), 188 nucleotides. RefSeq lists it as uncharacterized. The record is from RefSeq and is a predicted model, not a curated record. The transcript is spliced from 3 exons. Lineage: Eukaryota; Metazoa; Chordata; Mammalia; Carnivora; Mustelidae.